UACGGAGGGGGCUAGCGUUGUUCGGAAUUACUGGGCGUAAAGGGCGCGUAGGCGGUUGGAUAAGUCAGCUGUGAAAACCACGGGCUUAACUCGUGGCCUGCAGUUGAGACUGUCUGGCUUGAGUGUGGGAGAGGAGAGUGGAAUUCCUGGUGUAGCGGUGAAAUGCGUAGAUAUCAGGAGGAACACCGGUGGCGAAGGCGGCUCUCUGGACCACAACUGACGCUGAGGCGCGAAAGCUAGGGGAGCAAACAGG
This 253-nucleotide ribosomal RNA is filed under the name uncultured bacterium. RNAcentral's name for it is "partial 16S ribosomal RNA". It matches the Rfam family "Bacterial small subunit ribosomal RNA", at positions 524 to 776 of the family's 1533-position model. The record is from RNAcentral.